AGGGUCGUUGUAGACUACGACGUAGAUAGGCUACAGGUGUAAGGGCAGUAAUGUCGAAGCCGAGUAGUACUAAUAGCCCGAGACUUUCUAUU
Molecule: ribosomal RNA, 92 nt
Filed under: Parabacteroides segnis
Lineage: Bacteria; Pseudomonadati; Bacteroidota; Bacteroidia; Bacteroidales; Tannerellaceae
Description: partial 23S ribosomal RNA
Rfam family: Bacterial large subunit ribosomal RNA
Source: RNAcentral